ACUAAUCCAUUUCCAAGGUUUGUUUUAUUUUCAUACAUAAAAGUUCUACAUUCAUACAUAGAUAACAUGAAAUUAAUAUGGAGAAAUUGUUUGAAAUAAUAUUAAAAUCAUGUUGAAUACAUAAUUGUUAAUGGCUAUUAGACUUCAAAUCCAACAGGUUACAAAUAGUCCAAACACAUAUUUGUCUUAAAAAAACAUAAGUAAUUACAUUUUAAUUAGUGAAAAAAGUGAUGUUGGAAAACAGGUCCCUAAAGACCAAGACCAGGUAGCCAUGGUUGAAAACCUUUGGACUUAGGCGAACGUUUCAAAAUUGUUGUCUUGAAGCAGCCACUUUCCAUUCCAAUCAAGUCAAUUCACCUGUAACCUGCAAAGAGAAAAAACAGCUUAAUUAAAAAGCACUUUUUAGAAGCGCUUAAGAAACUGAAAAACAACUAAAUAAAUUAUUCAGUUUAAUGUUUUAUCCAAAAGGCUAACAUGAACACUCAAAAAAGCAUUUUGAAAAUGGCUUAAAACAAAACAAAUUAACAGAAAUCAAAUCCCACAUAAUCUGGGAUGAGACAAAUUAAAAAAGAAGUUCUUUUAAGACUUAAGAAAUAUUCUUCAUAAAAGAUCAAAAAAAGUUAACAGAAAGGAGGACAGAGGAGAUAACAGAGCAAUUCGUUUUUCUUCAAACCCAAACACAGAGCAAUUUUUCUAAAAAGCCUUAAGAAGUUAACAGCAUAGGCACAGAAAAAGAUAUCUCUCAAAAAAACCCAAAAUCAAGAACAACAUAAACGCGGCAAAGCUAUUUUUCAAAACCCUAAAACAACAACAACAACCGCACGACAAAGCUUUUUUUCAAAACCCUAAAAAACGAAACAGAAGAAGGAGGCUUAUCUGGAGACGGGAGGCAUCAUCGACGGCAGCUUCAUCUUCUUCUCCCUCCAUCAAAUCCGCCGGGAACACCCUCCGUUGUCUUCCACCCCUCCACCGUUCGCCGGCAAAACCAACCGCGGAACCAACCUCACUCGUACUCCCUCUGCCUCACCGCCGAUCCACCACGCUUUUGCCGUAGCCGAUGCCGAGGUUUCCACUUGCACUAUUUCCUUUUCCAUUUUUCUCACAAUUUUUUUUCAUGGAGUUUACUGUUAUUUAAAUUUUUUGAUUUGUGCUAAAAAGAACUGUUUGAGAGAGGAGGUUUGAGAUUGUUUAAAGAAAUAAACAAUCGAAAAAUGAGAAAGAAGAAAUAUCAUUCUUUUGUUAACGUUUUAUUUAGGUGGCUCUUAAUUUAUUUACUUUUUCUCUUAAAUAAAUAUAUGGCAUGUGUUUGAAUAGGGAUAUGUAAUUGUUAGAAUUUGAAACUUAAAUUAAAUAAAGAUGAGCAGAAAUCGAUGCAACCUUUCCUUUUUUUAUAUAUUUUUAUUUACUUCUUUUCUU
This 1416-nucleotide long non-coding RNA is filed under the name Lathyrus oleraceus (garden pea). Its description in RNAcentral is "Pisum sativum (pea) long non-coding RNA (PSAT_LNC010148)". Lineage: Eukaryota; Viridiplantae; Streptophyta; Magnoliopsida; Fabales; Fabaceae. The record is from RNAcentral.